CCUACGGGAGGCAGCAGUGGGGAAUAUUGCACAAUGGGGGAAACCCUGAUGCAGCGACGCCGCGUGAGUGAAGAAGUAUUUCGGUAUGUAAAGCUCUAUCAGCAGGGAAGAAAAUGACGGUACCUGACUAAGAAGCCCCGGCUAACUACGUGCCAGCAGCCGCGGUAAUACGUAGGGGGCAAGCGUUAUCCGGAUUUACUGGGUGUAAAGGGAGCGUAGACGGCCAGACAAGUCAGAAGUGAAAGCCCAGGGCUCAACCCUGGGACUGCUUUUGAAACUGCCGGGCUGGAGUGCAGGAGAGGUAAGCGGAAUUCCUAGUGUAGCGGUGAAAUGCGUAGAUAUUAGGAGGAACACCAGUGGCGAAGGCGGCUUACUGGACUGUAACUGACGUUGAGGCUCGAAAGCGUGGGGAGCAAACAGGAUUAGAUACCCCAGUAGUC
RNAcentral lists this ribosomal RNA (440 nucleotides) under uncultured bacterium. Its description in RNAcentral is "partial 16S ribosomal RNA". It matches the Rfam family "Bacterial small subunit ribosomal RNA", at positions 338 to 795 of the family's 1533-position model. The record is from RNAcentral.